Molecule: long non-coding RNA, 1463 nt
Filed under: Homo sapiens (human)
Lineage: Eukaryota; Metazoa; Chordata; Mammalia; Primates; Hominidae
Description: EFCAB6 divergent transcript (EFCAB6-DT)
Source: RNAcentral
GGGCUUUAGCGCGAGCUGGGCGGUCGGCCCGGUCCCACCGAACUGCAUAGGGCCGUGUAGCCGGGGGAAGUCAGCCCCCUGCUCUGAGAAGCAGACUCUGCAUCUGUAAAAGGCUAAGCGUGCCCACUGGGGCCUGUGGUCAGGAUUGGCUGCAGUGAGGUCCGCAAAGCCCCUACCGCAUCCUGCGCCUUCGUUAGGGUGAGCAGUCAUGGGGACUCGCAUUGUGCCACCACGUAGCGGGUCUCACUGGGUCCGCUUGUCUGCUCGAGGAGACAGCCGGUGAGGACGGGAGCUGGCCUGCUUUGCCCAGGCUGUAACCUCAGCCUCCGCCCAUACCCACAGUAAGCAUCCAUUCCAUUGAUAUUCGCUAAAUGAGUGAAUUAUUACUAAGACAGAGGGCCGAGUGGAAGCGCCAUAAAUCACGUGAGUGAAUGUAAUUGUUGUCGCUGACCCUAUGGAGCACUUCCCUUGCCAGGCACUCACCCAUCCUAGGUAUGUACUUUACAUGUAAUUGUCAUCUUCAUUUGUCUUCACAACAACCCUGUGAGGUGGGUGCUGUGGUUACUCCCAUUUUACAGAUAGGUAACUGAGGCACACAGAGCAUUUUGUUCAAGGACACACUGCCAGUCAGGGGUAGGAGCAGAAUGAGAACCUAUGGAGCUUGCUCUUAGGCACCCUGCCACACUGCUCACUGUGGGAGAGAAGCAGCCAGGCAGACGUGUGCAGCUUGGAAUUCCUUGCACACAUGGCUGCGGCAGGUCAAUUAGGUGCCCUGGUGUGUGCUGCAAAGAUGGAUACUAUGCGGUCCCUGCUGGGCACUCUGACUACUUCACUGGGCAGCUAGUUUUCCUGUUCACCAAGAGAAUUCUUUCCCAUGGCUUGUCUCAGACCUCCCGCACUCACUACUUCCUCACCGGACUCAAUGACCAUGGGUCUUAUCCCAUUGAGAAAAUGUAAUGCAUAAGAAUGGAAUGCACUCCUUCACAAUCACUUUGGCAUUCAUCGCCUCUUUUCCUCUUGCCCCAAAAGAGGGUCUCUUACAGAGGCCAGUCCCUCUAACUGUGUCCUGGAUCCCUCCCCAUUUGCCUUCUUUAUUAUAGGCAGUGCUCUAAGUGUGGUCUGGGAAUCCCUGGGGAUCCUGAGACCCUUUCAGACUGUCCAUGGGGCCAAAAAAUACUUUCAUAACACUUAAGACUUUACUUGCUUUUUCAUUGUUUUUCUCUCAUAAGUAUAUGGGGGGAUUUUCCAGAAGCUACAUGAUGUGUGAUAUUGCAACAAAUUGAAUGCAAAAGAAGGUAAGAGAUCCAGCGGUCUUGUACUAAGCCAGAUGUUAAAGAGAUCUGCAAAAAUAGAAAACUGCCCCUCUUUUCACUUUUUUGGAAAGUGUAAUUUUUCAUUAGAGAACGUUAACAUCUAAUGGGUUUAUUAUUUUUAAUGAGUUAAUAAAUUUUUUAUCAAUUGUA